RNAcentral lists this ribosomal RNA (265 nucleotides) under uncultured anaerobic ammonium-oxidizing bacterium. RNAcentral describes it as "partial 16S ribosomal RNA". It matches the Rfam family "Bacterial small subunit ribosomal RNA", at positions 565 to 828 of the family's 1533-position model. The record is from RNAcentral.
GAGCACGUAGGUGGGUUUGUAAGUCAGACGUGAAAGCCUUCUGUUCAACGGAAGAAUUGCAUCUGAAACUACAAAUCUUGAGUGUAGGAGGGGAGAAUGGAACUUCUGGUGGAGCGGUGAAAUGCGUAGAUAUCAGAAGGAACGUCGGCGGCGAAAGCGACUCUCUGGCCUAUUACUGACACUCAGUGUGCGAAAGCUAGGGGAGCAAACGGGAUUAGAUACCCCGGUAGUCCUAACUGUAAACGAUGGGCACUAAGUAGAGGGG